GAUGAACGCUGGCGGCGUGCCUAAUACAUGCAAGUCGAGCGAACAGACGAGGAGCUUGCUCCUCUGACGUUAGCGGCGGACGGGUGAGUAACACGUGGAUAACCUACCUAUAAGACUGGGAUAACUUUGGGAAACCGGAGCUAAUACCGGAUAAUAUAUUGAACCGCAUGGUUCAAUAGUGAAAGACGGUUUUGCUGUCACUUAUAGAUGGAUCCGCGCCGCAUUAGCUAGUUGGUAAGGUAACGGCUUACCAAGGCAACGAUGCGUAGCCGACCUGAGAGGGUGAUCGGCCACACUGGAACUGAGACACGGUCCAGACUCCUACGGGAGGCAGCAGUAGGGAAUCUUCCGCAAUCGGCGAAAGCCUGACGGAGCAACGCCGCGUGAGUGAUGAAGGUCUUCGGAUCGUAAAACUCUGUUAUUAGGGAAGAACAAAUGUGUAAGUAACUAUGCACGUCUUGACGGUACCUAAUCAGAAAGCCACGGCUAACUACGUG
Molecule: ribosomal RNA, 497 nt
Filed under: uncultured bacterium
Lineage: Bacteria
Description: partial 16S ribosomal RNA
Rfam family: Bacterial small subunit ribosomal RNA
Source: RNAcentral